AUACGUAGGGGGCGAGCGUUGUCCGGAAUGAUUGGGCGUAAAGGGCGCGUAGGCGGCCCGGUAAGUCUGGAGUGAAAGUCCUGUUUUUAAGAUGGGAAUUGCUUUGGAUACUGUCGGGCCUGAGUGCAGGAGAGGUAAGUGGAAUUCCCAGUGUAGCGGUGAAAUGCGUAGAGAUUGGGAGGAACACCAGUGGCGAAGGCGACUUACUGGACUGUAACUGACGCUGAGGCGCGAAAGUGUGGGGAGCAAACAGGAUUAGAUACCCUGGUAGUCCACACUGUAAACGAUGAAUGCUAGGUGUAGGGGGUAGCGACCCCUUCUGUGCCGCAGUCAACACAAUAAGCAUUCCGCCUGGGGAGUACGGCCGCAAGGUUGAAACUCAAAUGAAUUGACGGGG
RNAcentral lists this ribosomal RNA (397 nucleotides) under uncultured bacterium. RNAcentral describes it as "partial 16S ribosomal RNA". It matches the Rfam family "Bacterial small subunit ribosomal RNA", at positions 523 to 918 of the family's 1533-position model. The record is from RNAcentral.